Sardina pilchardus (European sardine) is the source of this 1156-nucleotide long non-coding RNA. RefSeq lists it as uncharacterized. The transcript is spliced from 2 exons. The record is from RefSeq and is a predicted model, not a curated record. Lineage: Eukaryota; Metazoa; Chordata; Actinopteri; Clupeiformes; Clupeidae.
GUCUGUGGCAGCAGUGAUAAGGGAACUUCUCUGGCAACUUCUCCAGCAGACCACUAAGACUGACCAAUCAUAAUCUUUUUUCUUGUUGUUGUUUGUUUUUAAAAACACUGCACCAGCAAAGGAAGUCAACGUGACAGGUUGAUUCUCUGUCCUAGACGCUCUCAUGUGGGGAAGGGGAAAGUUAGAACCCUCUUCACAACGUUUGGACUACCGAGGAACACAGACUUAAUUUAAACUGAAGCUGGUGAGGCUGAAAGUCUUUUGGAUUAAAGUGUGAAACAAAGAAGAGUUUGAGUUUGAGUUUGGCACUGACAUGUCUGCUCAGGCUGCUGAAAGAAUAAGCCUCAAGAGAAAAGAGACUUUACUGCAGAGACAAAAUGGCUUCUAAAUUUGGAGAGGAUCUCAUGUAUUGCAUGUGCUGUGAAAUCCACAAGGAUCCUGUCCUGUUGCCCUGCUCUCACAGUGUGUGCAAAGCCUGUCUGCAGCGGUUCUGGGAUAGCAAAGGACACAGAGAAUGUCCCUACUGCAGGAGGAAGUGCUCAAAAGACAUCAGUCAACCUAACGUGGCUCUAAGCAACUUGUUACAGGAGAGGAGUCUGAGAGCUUCAGCAGGACUCAGGAUCAUGGAUGGUGCACAUUCUGGUGAUCCGACCUUGGAGGGAGCCAUUGCCAGAGCCAGAGAAGCGUCAACCUGUUUGAUACUGUAGUUUGUGAGUGCCAUCAGGGGUGUUCUGAUGAGGAAGCGGCGCCUAUGAGAGGCACAACAACCACCAUAGACAGUGCCACUGCUGGCCAUUUCGGUGCCCUGCAAGCUUCUUUGUGCUCUACCCACUGUUGUUCUACAUUGUGGUCUUAAUAACUUGCCAAACAUUUGAUUAUAAAGAUUCAAAUAUGUCCUGCCAUACUAUUAAUGUUUAUAUAAUAUUUAAUAAAUCUCUUCCAUGCUUGCAGGGCUUUCCUUCCAUUUUAUAUGUGUAUAUGUGAUAUUGAAGUCCUUUUUUCAAGCUUCAUCUAUUUUUUUAAUGAGUAUAAUUACCCACCUGUGCCUCAAUCAAACAUGUAUAAACGUUACCAAUAGUUUCUCUUUCUCUCCAGUAUUCAUGAAAAGCCUCUCUAUUGUUGUUGAUUCAGAAUUAAAAAUCAUAUCAUUCUGUGA